RNAcentral lists this unclassified non-coding RNA (1215 nucleotides) under Leishmania donovani. Its description in RNAcentral is "gene:LdHU3.35.6170(CDS-product:protein_kinase_put ative)". The record is from RNAcentral. Lineage: Eukaryota; Euglenozoa; Kinetoplastea; Trypanosomatida; Trypanosomatidae.
GACGCUGCGUGGCACCUGUCACGGCGCGCCCCAUACUGCUGUAGUUUGCAUGUGGACCGUGUUGGUGCAAGAGAACAGGCAAACGGAAACACAAGCACCGAGCGAUUCUUCGCCCUCUACCUGUCCUGGGCAGACAGGCACUAUCGGCGGCAAGGGGCGCUUGUAGCAACUGGGUUUCUUUCGACAGCACGCGCCCGCAGCGCUACCACAAGCAAACUGGUGCAAUGUUGGCCACGCCGUCUUUGCCGCCGCUCUCAUCGUCCGGCAACCAGCAAGGCGCCUGGGCACGGCGCAUCCUCAAAUCGGAUGUCUACCCCUCUUCACUAGAGGCCAUCCGUGCACGGGUUGAGGCCCUGCGCGGUCGAUGGCGAGAUGGCGGGGCGGCACAUAUCGUCCCAAUUACGCGGGUCGUGUGCACCCCGCUUUAUCUGCGUUUGGAGGUGGAUGAAUCGCUGGCCCUAGAGCUGCUGGGGCCGCCGUGGGAGUACGAACGGCAUAGCGCGCCGAUGGGCGAACGUGACGCCGCUCUCUGUGUUUUGUCGGUUGCUCAGCUCCUGUCACGACUGCACGCAGUAGGCGUGGUGCAUGGACACCUGCAGGGAGGCGUAGUGUGGCACCACACAGGUGAUGCGCUACGUAUCGUUGUUACAGAGUGCGAACUGCCCAUCACCGCCCUUGUUCCCUAUGGAGGGGUAGGGAGUGAGGCGCGGCAGUGCGCCGCACCGGAGAUUCUGCGAGGAGACCCCUACGCUGGCGCGGCUGAUGUUUGGGGACUGGGUGUCCUCCUCGUCCAACUGCUCCUGGGGUCGUCGAAGCCGGUGUGCACGGCUGACCUCGAAAACUCUGAUCUGUUGUCGCCGUUUAUCUCCUCGUUGGGCCCAAGCGCUGCAAGUUUUGUGCUGCCGUGCGUGAAGAGUGACCCUCACGCUCGCCCGCUGCUGCUUCAGGUGCUGCAACAUCCAUUUCUAGCGUCGGCGCUGCCGGUGCAUGGAAACGAAGUCGGAGACGAGCAGAGAAACGAUUGCAGCAGCGAGGACAGCAACACCAGUGAAGGCGAGGAACUGGAGGAUAGCGACACCGACUCUACUUGAGCACCACGGAGGACCUCUUUCUCGCGUCAGCCGUCGUCUCCUUUUGAUUGUGUCUUCUCUACGCUUUCCCCGUGUUGUUACGGCGAUGAACUUGUAUCAGCUGAGCCCUCACCCCCUUCCCCAC